Molecule: ribosomal RNA, 1093 nt
Filed under: Snodgrassella alvi
Lineage: Bacteria; Pseudomonadati; Pseudomonadota; Betaproteobacteria; Neisseriales; Neisseriaceae
Description: bacterial SSU rRNA
Rfam family: Bacterial small subunit ribosomal RNA
Source: RNAcentral
UACGGGAGGCAGCAGUGGGGAAUUUUGGACAAUGGGGGGAACCCUGAUCCAGCCAUGCCGCGUGUCUGAAGAAGGCCUUCGGGUUGUAAAGGACUUUUGUUAGGGAAGAAAAGCCGGGUGCUAAUACCACCUGGUGCUGACGGUACCUAAAGAAUAAGCACCGGCUAACUACGUGCCAGCAGCCGCGGUAAUACGUAGGGUGCGAGCGUUAAUCGGAAUUACUGGGCGUAAAGCGAGCGCAGACGGUUAAUUAAGUCAGAUGUGAAAUCCCCGAGCUCAACUUGGGACGUGCAUUUGAAACUGGUUAACUAGAGUGUGUCAGAGGGAGGUAGAAUUCCACGUGUAGCAGUGAAAUGCGUAGAGAUGUGGAGGAAUACCGAUGGCGAAGGCAGCCUCCUGGGAUAACACUGACGUUCAUGCUCGAAAGCGUGGGUAGCAAACAGGAUUAGAUACCCUGGUAGUCCACGCCCUAAACGAUGACAAUUAGCUGUUGGGACACUAGAUGUCUUAGUAGCGAAGCUAACGCGUGAAAUUGUCCGCCUGGGGAGUACGGUCGCAAGAUUAAAACUCAAAGGAAUUGACGGGGACCCGCACAAGCGGUGGAUGAUGUGGAUUAAUUCGAUGCAACGCGAAGAACCUUACCUGGUCUUGACAUGUACGGAAUCUCUUAGAGAUAGGAGAGUGCCUUCGGGAACCGUAACACAGGUGCUGCAUGGCUGUCGUCAGCUCGUGUCGUGAGAUGUUGGGUUAAGUCCCGCAACGAGCGCAACCCUUGUCAUUAGUUGCCAUCAUUAAGUUGGGCACUCUAAUGAGACUGCCGGUGACAAACCGGAGGAAGGUGGGGAUGACGUCAAGUCCUCAUGGCCCUUAUGACCAGGGCUUCACACGUCAUACAAUGGUCGGUACAGAGGGUAGCGAAGCCGCGAGGUGAAGCCAAUCUCAGAAAGCCGAUCGUAGUCCGGAUUGCACUCUGCAACUCGAGUGCAUGAAGUCGGAAUCGCUAGUAAUCGCAGGUCAGCAUACUGCGGUGAAUACGUUCCCGGGUCUUGUACACCACCGCCCGUCACACCAUGGGAGUGGGGGAUACCAGAAC